This 350-nucleotide transfer-messenger RNA is filed under the name Treponema sp. It matches the Rfam family "transfer-messenger RNA". From Rfam's summary of the family: Bacterial tmRNA, also known as 10Sa RNA or SsrA, is named for its dual tRNA and mRNA-like properties. Lineage: Bacteria; Pseudomonadati; Spirochaetota; Spirochaetia; Treponematales; Treponemataceae. The record is from RNAcentral.
GGGGGUGCACCGGUUUCGACUGGUACGGUUCGGGGUGCAGGCUGCAGGUGGAGUGCCGAACUCCUAACAUUCGGCAACAAUUUAACUGCCGACUACGACAGUUACGCUCUCGCUGCUUAAACAGCGGAACGCGGAAACCGGCCCCGCCGCCUUGAGGGGCCGGCUUUCCGUCGCAAUCAAGGCUGGUCAAGCUCCGUGUCUGGACGGAGGGCGACGAGAUAAUUCCAGAAUACGGAGGGGCCGCAAGCCGUGCUGCCAAGCCCGUCCCGACAAACCAUCGCACGGCUAAACCUGUAGAAGCCGGUAUUUCGCGUAUUAGGACGCGGGUUCGAUUCCCGCCACCUCCAAAA